Molecule: long non-coding RNA, 4481 nt
Filed under: Citrus sinensis (sweet orange)
Lineage: Eukaryota; Viridiplantae; Streptophyta; Magnoliopsida; Sapindales; Rutaceae
Description: long non-coding RNA (CSIN_LNC002527)
Source: RNAcentral
GACAAAAUAAAAAUUCCCACUCGUUCUCACUGUUGUCCUCAAAUCGACUUAACUAGCUCUUCCUGUUGAUAUGUGAUUCUCCCGAUGUAGUGGCUCAACAAACGCCAAAUCCACGAAGCUCCACCGCCACGCUUGUUGCCUUCCCCAUGUGACACCAACUCCACCGUAACUUCAUAGUGCGACACCCAAUCACUGCAUCAAACCAGCUCCACUGCACCCCACCACGCGACACCAUCUCUACCAUGCAAUACCACUCUUCUCCCUGUCUUUCACCACUUAAGGUUUCAUCUUUAAUUUGGGUUUGAUUUUUUAAUUAAGGUUUGAUUUCUAAAUUUGGGUUUGAUUUUAUUUGCUUUCAAUUUAAUCAUGUUCGUCCAUUAUAAUCAAACAUCUGUGGCAAUUGAUUUUUGGAAAAUAAGGGGCCAAUUGCUCGCGGUGGGUUUUUAGAUUUGAUUCAGGGAUAACAAUAAGUUGCGGCCUUUUACUUAUGAGUGCAGAGCUAGGAAAGAGAGAAUUCUUGUCUCAGCAGUUUUCGACUACUAAAAAGAUUUUUGCAGCAUAGAUCAAUUGAGGAUGGUUUUAAUUUAUAUUAUAUUCUGCAUUAACUAUUAGUGAAGCACAAAAAAUUACCCCUGUUUGAAUUAGAUGUGAACAAAUGAAUACACAUCUUUGCUUAUACAUUUUAUGCAUAUGUGUGAAAUGCUGCAGUAAGGUGCAAAAGCAUAUACUUGAAUGUCUUUAUCCAUAAUGAACAACCAGUAGCAGGUAGCCAAAUGUGUGGUCUAAGGAUUGCAUAAGGAUGACAUAUCUAUUAAACUGAUAGUUCAUCUUUUACCAUGAAGAUUAGAGGCCUAAAGCAUACAGGGAAGCUAGAGCUUUUAUAACUUGGUUAGCAACAUUGGAUAAUUAACUUCUAUAGUGCUAAAAUCUAAGACUAAGAUAAGAUUAAUUGCUUCAGGCAUCUUUACUGAAAUAUAAGAGAAUAAGAAUUUGUCAAGUAAGAGUAAAUAGUUGAGAAGGAACACAAAUGCAAUACUAUGGCUAAGAACAUAGUCGAAGGUGCAAUAUUAGAAAAUACAUUUAAGGCUGUUAACCUUAUAAAUUGCACUAGGCAAAUAUUGGACUUGGGGUCCAUAUAUUAUUAUUACUAUUAUUACUAUUAUGAUGAUGAUGAUGAUGAUGUUAGUAGGAAUUUGCAUUACUAGCUGAUUGUACUGCACUUUUUGGUCAAAAGAUAAAAUUCAAAAGACAGUAACUUUCUAAACAAAUGAUUAAAGAGCAAACCAAAAAUUCAAAAACACCAAUAUUAUUGAACAUUAUCUUAUUUUAUAUAAUAUAUGACCACUUGUACAGUAAUAUUAAUGGAUAAUCUUUGUUUGGACAAAAUCAUGCUGUGUGGGGAUAAAAAAGUUCUCAAAUUUUGUUGUCCAUUCAUAAAUUAAAAAGAAAAAAAAUGUUUAUGAAUAAUAAGUUUGAGUCUAAGUUAAUUUUCAGUUCAGCGGUUGCUAAAAGUUUAGUUACCUUUGAGGUUGGUAAGAAUUUAAGGGAAUAAUUAUUCCAUGACAACCCAGUAUAUAUUCACCAGGCAUUUUAAAGUAUUAUGGCUAUGUGAGAUAAUUAAGUACUAUACUUUUCUGAAAUAAAAAAUUGGUUUUUGGUUGUUCUAUCUUCAACAAAGUGGAGAGAUUCAUCAUAUAUUAUGCAUGCAUUUGGGCAGAUUUGAGAGCAAUGAAUUGGUAAAACCAUAUGAUUCAAGACAAUGAGAAAUUUGCAACACAAGUUGAACAAUGUAUAAAGAAGAAUUCUUAUAAGUACUUAGUAGUUGUUAUAUACGCACACCAUAUUAUCAAAUGUUGCAUACCUUACAUGAAUUUUUUCCCAAGUUAAUUAUUCAUUGAAAUUGACAUUUUUUUUAUUCAUUUCAAUGGGGUUAUUUUUAUUUAGGUUCCAAAACAAAUACAUUAACUGGAAUUUCCUUCCAACGGCUACUACUUGCUCCCAAUGAGUUUAAUUUCUUAGCAUUUAUUAUUUUUACUUCAAGAAAUGGCCUAUGAAAUAUAAUUCCUUGGAUUUCAAUAUAUUUCUUCUACCCUCUAUUAAAUCGUGUGAUAGGCAUGAUUUUGUGGUUGAUCUAGUCAAAUGAGAAUGGAUCAAAUGUUCUAUUUCCUUUACCAUUUAUUAUGAUUAUUAAUACACACACACAAAAACAUAUGUAUACAUAUAUUUGCCUCUUGUGUCUACUUUGUGAUUCUAUUCAGUUCAAGUGUUGAAACAUAGUCCUUAUAGAAAUUUAUCAAAUGGUCUAUUAUCUGAUUUUUUUUCCAUUUUACUGGUUGUGUUAGAUAUGGACAUGGGAAGAAAAUUUUCUUUUAUCAUGUGGCAAAUGAAAUUGAGGUUCAUGUUCAUUAUGAUGCAUUUUUUGUUAAGAUGUUGAUCCGAAGGCAUAACAAAAGAAAAAUGAUUCGUAGUCGUACAUUCCAAUUCCAUGUUACUUGAUUACAAUACUCAGGUAGCAUUAUAAGCAAUAGUGACAUAUAAUGUAUAAAUAAACUAAGAAUAGAUGGAAGGACAUUUGGCCUACUAUGUGAGCUACUUUGAUCGCAUGAGGGACUAAAGACUAAUGGUUCAUUGGCUGUUGAAGAGCAAGUUUGCAUGUUCCUACAUACUUUAUCUUAUCAUGUUAAGAAUUGCACAAUUAGCAGUAGGUUUUUUAGAUCUGGUGAGAAUAUUAUUAGAUACUUCAACUCAAUGUUAAGCGGAGCAUCACGACUACACAAUGUUUUAUUAAGUGCGCCAGACUUGGCCUACUAUGUGAGCUACUUUGAUCGCAUAGGGGACUAAAGACUAAUGGUUCAUUGGUUGUUGAAGAGCAAGUUUGCAUGUUCCUACACACUUUGUCUUAUUAUGUUAAGAAUCGCACAAUUAGUAAUAGGUUUCUUAGAUCUGGUGAGACUAUUAUUAGAUACUUCAACUCAAUGUCAAGAAGAACACCAAGGCUACACAAUGUUUUAUUAAGGGCACCAGACCUUACACCAGAGAAUUGCACUAAUGAGAGGUGGAAGUGGUUUAAGGUACAUUAUCAAUUACUUAUAUUUUAUUAAAGCUACUGAUAAUUUAAUGCUAAUUAAAUUUUCAUUUGUUUUAUGUAUAUAGAAUUGCUUGUGGGCAUUAGAUGGAACUUAUAUCAGAGUUCAUGUGCCAAAAAAUAUUGAUAAGCCAAGAUAUUGAACAAGAAAGGUGAGAUUGCUGCAAAUGUUUUAGGGGUAUGUUCACGAGAUAUGAAAUUCAUCUUCAUGAUGCCCGAAUGGGAAGGCUCUGCCUCUAACUUAAGAGUACUUCGCAAUGCAUUAAAUAAGUCAACUGGUUUAAAAGUUCCUACAAGUAUUACUCAUUCCAAAAAAAUUAAUUUAACCAAAUUACGUAUUCAAAAACAAAAUUAUAUUAAUGUUUAUGUGAAAUAAAUAGCUUAUUACUAUCUUGUGGAUGAUGGAUAUACAAAUACUGAAGGAUACUUUGCACCAUAUACGACAACGAGAUAUCACUUAUCAGAAUGGAGAGAUAGGUGUGCUCCUCGCAAUAAAGAAGAAUUCUUUAACAUGAAACAUUCAUCAGUAAGAAAUGUAAUUGAGCAGUGUUUUGGAUUGCUCAAAAUGCGAUGGGCCAUUCUUCGAAGUCCUUUAUUUUAUUCAAUUAAAACCCACUGUUGCAUUAUUACUACCUGUUGUUUAUUGCAUAAUCUGAUAAGGAAAGAAAUGUCUGUGGAUCCAAUAGAGAAUGAAUUAGUUGACAUAUCUAAUAAUGAAGUAGAAGAUAAUGAUAACAUAAGUAGCAUUGAAGCUUCAGACCAGUGGAAGAGCUAGAGGAACGAUUUAGCUACUACUAUGUACAAUAAUUGGCUUAGAAAUUAAUACUCAUCUAAUAGAUAGAUGUCAUUAGAAAAGCAUUUGAGCUUGUACUUUUGUUAGUAUAUCGAUGUCAUUAGAAAAGUACAUGAGCUUGUACUUUUGUUAGUAUAUAGAUGUCAUUAGGAAAGCAUUUGAGCCUGUACUUUUGUUAGUAUAUAGACCUUAUAAAAUAAGUUUUGAGCCUAUACUUUUGUUAGUAUAUAGAUAUCACUAGGAAAGUAUCUAAAGAUGUAACCUUUUGUUUAUAUUUGAUAUUAUUAGAAGUUUAUCGGGGGUUACUUAUGUGAAUUCACUUGGCAUUAUGUUUCAAUUACUUGUUUAAAAAAUUAUUAUAAUAUUUAUUUUGUAGGAAUGAAGAGUGAAGGCCCAAGCCGUACUGCUGGAAAUAAGAUAGGCUCGGACGAGCAUGGACAAAAGAUGAAGAAAAAGCAAUGUUGAAUAUUUGAGAUGCUAUAGUUGCAAAUGGUAGUCGAGAUGAUAAUGGCACCUCCAAAUCUAGAAGUUACAAAUAUAUUGCAGAUGAAAUUAGAAAAACUAUUACCAGGUAAUGGUUUGAAGGCGUCCCACAUAUUGACU